UCGGGUCGUGUUCUGACAGCUAGCACUCCACUCUUGUUUGCUGCGUGCGUUCGUCGCUUGGCCCGCUUGCUGUUCUCGCAAAAGCGCGGGGCAGAGGAGAGAAAGAAGCCUCUCGUUCUCCGAGAGAGACGCAGAGGCCGCAGUCAGGGCCUGGAUAUACUCGGAGGCUCGGCUUCUCUUCUGGGUGCUCCUUGUUGCUUCCAGGGAAAGUUUAGUCUGGAUCUGAGGCCUCGUGGCGCUCUUCCUGGUUUUUCAAUUUUGGUGGAGAAAUAGAGUUUGUGGUGAAGUAAAUGGCACCGCUGGAAUCCAAACCCUAAUGAAGCAGAGUCUCUUCUUAACCACUGUCUAUACUAAAGGUAAUUUAAAACAGGGUGCAGACAACAGGAAAGCAACAACUCUGGUUUGGUCACCGUGGUGGUCUUGCCCGGCACAUGGUGGGAGUCCAGCCAGAGCUGAUGGGAGCACCACAGGCAUCUCCCCUGAUGCAGGGUAAAUUGCAGAAGCCGUGGUACCAGCCCGCAUCCAUGACCCCACAGAUAUUCCCCUUCUCCAAGUGGACUGACCCAGGCCUUUUACAAACACAGAAGGAUCUUGUGCAAGAUGAAUUUUAGUACUAGCUACUAAAAGAUCUCUUCACACAAAAGGCAAUAUUCCUGAAUUUGUAUUGGUCCAGGCAUUCGAGAAUCAAGAUGUUUUCCUGUUUCCAUGGAAGCAGAGUUCAUUUGGCUGGGAUGUUCUGAGCUUUUGCUUCCAGACCUUUGAUGCCGGGGCAUGUUGUCUUCAGCAGAGGCUCUGGCCAAGUCAGAUGCCCACGUGUCUCUGCUUGGUGAAGCCGAAUGCCUCGCCAUGACUCUGGAGAAGCUCUUUAAGUGUCUGAUGCAGUGGGAAGAGCUGAGCCACAGCUUGAUACCAGUGUUGGGCCCCAGAGUCCCCAUAUGCUGCCUCUCAAGGGUGGUAUUCAAAGUGGGUUGUUGUUCUUGUUGUUGUUUUGGUCACAUCCCAGGCGUAACUGCAGUACAACAUCACAGCCAGGAUGCUGACAUUGAUAAUCCUCCUAUCUCAUUCACAUUUCCCCGUUUUACUUGUAAUGUGUGUGUGUGUGUGUGUGUUUGUAUUUAGUUCUUUGAUGUUUUAUCACAUGUGCAGAUUAAUGUAUCUGCUACAGUCAAGAUAUAGAACACCUGAAUCCUUUGUGUUGCUCUUUGGUACCCACCUCCUCCCCAUCCCUCCACCCCAACACCUGGCAACCACUGAGCUAGUCUCCAUACUGCAAAUUUUGUGAUAUCAUUUGUUACAUAGAUGGAAUUGCCUAUUGCAUAGCUUUGGCGGAAUGGCUUUUCAUUUUCCCCCUCAAAACAUAUUUCUUUACAAUUACUACAAGCUGUUGCAUGUAUCAGUAGUUUUCUUUCUUUCUUUCUUUCUUGCUUGCUUCCUUCCUUCCUUCCUUUCUUUUUUUUUUGGCUGAACCAGUAGUGGCAGGCAGAAGUUCUGGGACCAGGGAUCGAACCCAAGCCAUAGCAGUAACCAAAGCCACAGCAGUGACAAUGCUGUACCCUCAACUCUCUGAGCCAGCAGGACUCUCCUCAAAGUGUUUUUUUUUUUUUUUCCUUUCUUUUUAGGGCCACACCCACAGCAUAUGGAAGUUCCUGGGCUAGGGGUCAAAUUGGAGCUGCAGCUGCUGGGUUACACCACAGCCACGGCAAUGUGGGAUCCAAGCUGUGUCUGCAACCUGCACCAUGACUCACAACAACACCCAGAUCCUUAAUGCACUAAAUAAGUGCAGGGAUCGAACCCUUAUCCUCAUGGAUACUAGUUGGGUUCAUAAUCACUGAGCCACAAUGGGAAGCCCCCAAAGUGGGGUUUUGGAAGAUAGUAGGAUUAUUCUAGGCUCAGAUUAAAGUCAGGUGGGUAAGCAUCAUUGCACAGGGAGGAAAAAGUGUGAGCCAGAUGGUGAAGGCAGGAAAGUUAGAGCCCUCUUUGGGAAGGAGAUGGCGAUAUUGUAGGAACCAGCUUGGGGUUUGUUUGGGAGGGACAGCAGCAGGCUCUCUCCCUGCCUCGUGUCACUUCCCUAUGUCCUUCCUGUGAUUUGGGGGCCUCUGUGGUGCAUGGCCACCUGUAUGCAGGCAGCACCAGCAUCUUGUCCCUCUUGCUCUGUCUCAGGGCUCUCUCCUGGGUGCAGGAGAGCACUCAGCCUGCUUGCAGGAGCAUCUCAGCCCGCAGGCAGCCCCCAGCCCAGGGGAGGAAGGUUGGUGGACCACACCAUGACAUGUGGUCUACACACGUCCUUUGAGGGGUGAGCCCGGUGCCCACAGUGGUAACCAGUGCGAUAACGCUGUUUAACCCUUUCGAUACCCUCACACUUGCCUGGGCUCAUCUUGCAAAGAAGUCACCUGCAUGUGAUUUAUGAGCAUGGAGGAAACUACUGAAGGGUACGCGGUUGUUGGGAUGAUUGCUUGGUGCAGCGUAGGGAAGGUAAGCAGGAGAGGGAAUGGGCAUAAAAUAUACUCAAACCAAACAAAACUACCCAUUAGACACAGCAUGCUGAGUUUUUUGUUUGUUUGUUUUUGUUUUUGCCUUUUUCUUUUUGCCUUUUAGGGCUGCACUUGGAGCAUAUGGAUGUUCCCAGACUAGGAGUUGAACCAGAGCUGUAGCUGUUGGCCUACGCUGCAGCCACAGCAAUGCCAGAUCCGAGCUGAGUCUGUGACCCACACCACAGCUCAUGGCAAUGCUGGAUCUCCAAUCCAGUGAGCGAAGCCAGGGAUCGAACCUGCAUCCCCAUGGAUACUAGUUGAAUUCAUUUCUGCUGGACCGCGACGGGAACUCCCACAUGCUGGGUUCUUUGAUAGACAAUCUGUAAGGAAAAGAGAAAGGUAGAGAGGAAACCUAUGCCGAGAAGAAAUGAAGACUUCUCAAAAAACUUUUUAAUUAAAAAAAUUAUUGAUUUAUUUAUUUUUGGCCAUGCCUGAGGCACGUGGAAGGUCCUGGGCCAGGGAUUGAACCUUGCACCACAGCAGUGACAACAUCAGAUUCUUAACUGCUAGGCCACCAGGGAACUCUCAAAAAUUUUUUUAAAUGGACCAGACCAAGCUAUAGUGUUUAGGAUUUCAUAGUUGAGUGAUAAGACCAUAAAGAAACACAAAGAAGGGAGUAUCACUGAAGUCACAAUAGUGAUUACUUUUUUUAAAGGGAGACAGGUAGUGGCUAUCAUGGGACAUUUGAUGGAAAUUUCUAAGCUGCAAAGUUCUAUUUUUUUGAUCUGGGUGGUAGUUAUAAUAAUUCAUUGAAGAGUACAUUUAUUUUGAAUAGUUUUUCUGCAUUUGUAUUCUAUUUUACUUUGCAAAAGAAAG
Molecule: long non-coding RNA, 3347 nt
Filed under: Sus scrofa (pig)
Lineage: Eukaryota; Metazoa; Chordata; Mammalia; Artiodactyla; Suidae
Description: lncRNA (ENSSSCG00025010811.1)
Source: RNAcentral